RNAcentral lists this unclassified non-coding RNA (223 nucleotides) under plant metagenome. RNAcentral describes it as "partial contains small subunit ribosomal RNA, internal transcribed spacer 1, and 5.8S ribosomal RNA". The record is from RNAcentral.
UCUCCGUUGGUGAACCAGCGGAGGGAUCAUUACAGGACUCGCAAGACUCCUUCACCCUGUGAACCUCACUACAAGCACGUUGCUUCGGCGGGUGUCCCGGCGGGGGUUUUCCCUCGCCGGGGCGCACAGCCCGCCGGCAGCCUACUAUACUCUGUCUCUUUGCGUUGGCAUCUCGAGAAAAAACAAACAAGUUAAAACUUUCAACAACGGAUCUCUUGGUUCU